CCUACGGGCGGCAGCAGUGAGGAAUAUUGGUCAAUGGACGAGAGUCUGAACCAGCCAAGUAGCGUGAAGGCUGACUGCCCUAUGGGUUGUAAACUUCUUUUAUAUGGGAAUAAAGUGUUCCACGUGUGGGAUUUUGUAUGUACCAUAUGAAUAAGGAUCGGCUAACUCCGUGCCAGCCGCCGCGGUAAUACGGAGGAUCCGAGCGUUAUCCGGAUUUAUUGGGUUUAAAGGGAGCGUAGGUGGAUUGUUAAGUCAGUUGUGAAAGUUUGCGGCUCAACCGUAAAAUUGCAGUUGAAACUGGCAGUCUGUAGUACAGUAGAGGUGGGCGGAAUUCGUGGUGUAGCGGGGAAAUGCUUAGAUAUCACGAAGAACUCCGAUUGCGAAGGCAGUUCACUGGACUUCAACUGACACUGAGGCUCGAAAGUGUGGGUAUCAAACAGGAGUAGAUACCCGAGUAGUC
RNAcentral lists this ribosomal RNA (460 nucleotides) under uncultured bacterium. Its description in RNAcentral is "partial 16S ribosomal RNA". It matches the Rfam family "Bacterial small subunit ribosomal RNA", at positions 338 to 795 of the family's 1533-position model. The record is from RNAcentral.